GGCCUCCCUCUUUGGGGAGAUCAAUUGUGGAGCCUCCCCAUUGAUCGCCCUGUAGAGGGUGGCC
RNAcentral lists this microRNA precursor (64 nucleotides) under Myotis brandtii (Brandt's bat). RNAcentral's name for it is "mir-9242 microRNA precursor family". It matches the Rfam family "mir-9242 microRNA precursor family". Lineage: Eukaryota; Metazoa; Chordata; Mammalia; Chiroptera; Vespertilionidae. The record is from Rfam by way of RNAcentral.